GCCAGAGCUCAGGCACAGGGAGAUGAUGGGGUCUCAGGCUCAGCUGUUCUGCCUCCUGCUUCUCUGGGUCCCAGGUUCCAGAGGGGCCGUUGGGGUGACCCAGAAUCCAUCCUCCCUGGCUGUGUCUCUAGGAGAGAGGGUCACCCUGUCCUGCAGGGCCAGUCAGAGCAUUGGUAAUGCCUUAGACUGGUACCAACAUCCCCCAGGCCAGUCUCCCAGACCCCUCAUUUACUUGGCUUCCAGCCUGCAGCCUGGGGUCCCUGCCCGGUUCAGUGGCAGUGGCUCUGGGACAGAUUUCUCUCUUACCAUCAGUGGUGUGGAACCAGAGGACGUCGCAGACUAUUACUGCCUGCAGAGGAAUAGUUAUCCUCUCACAGUGGUUCAGCUCUGAACAAAAACCUGCCCAGGCAGCUGCUGAGGGAGCCCCCACUGUCCCAGGGGCUCUUCCUUCCCCCACAGCUGGGACAGCUUGUCUGGGCUGCCUCAGAGGGAGGCUUCUGGGUCUCACAGAAGGCUGCUGGGCCUGGGAUGGGUGCUGAGCCUGGUCUCUUCCCAUCCAACAAUCAUGGAGUGGCGCCUCCUCACUCAUUGGAUGUCACCCCAAAAGUGGGUUUGGCUCACUCACAGCUGACCAAGACUCCCCUUUCCAAGCCCUCAACAAGGACUGCUAAAGCCUAAGCAUGAUAACCUGAAGUGCAGGCGGAGAUACCCAGGAGAUGGCAAGACCUUCAGAGCUGGUUGGGCCUGUCUCUUCGGGCUGAAGAAAGUCGAGGCACUUCUAUCCAAAGACUGGAAAGCCCAAAAGCUCCUCCCACUUCCCAAUACCAGAAAGGAAGUGCUCAUCACAAGACCAACUGCCACUCCCAGUUACCCCUUCCCCCACCAACUGUCAGUCUUGUCAAUGACUUCCCUCUCUAAUAUUCCCACUGUUGCUUGUUCCAACACAGUAGCAGAACUUGUUUUAGUUUCCUUUCCACAUGGGUACAAGGGGGAAGGGGGGGAAGAGUACAGCUAUGGCUCUGCACAUUCAAAUUUCAGGGGCCUCGAUUGCCAUUUUAAUGAAUAAAAGAGUCUAGUGGGUUGCAGGAAAAAGCAGGCUACUUUCUGGGUUUGCCGUGGGCUGGUGAAAAAGGCACAAGCCUCCAUUCGGGGGGCUCUGCAGCCUGAAGAGGAACAGAAAACAAAAGGCUGCAGAUGCAAGGAUUGGCACAGAGAUAAACACCCAGCAUGGCUGAGGAAAAGGUCCAGUUAGAGGAUUCCAUCCUGUCGAGCCACCAGCGUGAAUCUAAAAUCACAAUUCACAGUCCAAGUAAAGGAAAGAAUUUUCUCAAACAAGUUAAAUUUUAUGACAGGCUUUAGAAAUCUGGACUUCCUACCCUUUCAUUUCCUAAUGAAUCCAGCAGCAAGGAAUGAAGCCAGGGAGUCCCGGCAGAACAAUCUGCUUCCCUUCUGGCAACAGCAUUUAAAGGAACAGGACUGAGGAAAACAUGAAAUGGAUGUUUUCAUUGAAGUUUUCAGACUGAGACGGUGCAAGAAGAAUUUUUUUUAACAUAACAUAAAGAAUGAAUGCACUUAGUUAGCAGGAUCCCGAGUAUAUGUUUCAUGUGUGUC
Monodelphis domestica (gray short-tailed opossum) is the source of this 1611-nucleotide non-coding RNA. The record is from the annotation of a RefSeq genome assembly. NCBI's taxonomy places the organism in Eukaryota, Metazoa, Chordata, Mammalia, Didelphimorphia, Didelphidae.